UACUGGUCUGUAAGUGCUGGGAUCACCUCUAGAGCCCUUUUUAAAUAUUGGCUUUACAUUAGCUAUAGUCCAGUCAUUGGAUACAGAAGUCGAUUUAAAGGACAGGUUACAAACCAUAGUUAAUAAAUGAAAAAUUGCAUA
Gopherus evgoodei (Goodes thornscrub tortoise) is the source of this 141-nucleotide long non-coding RNA. RefSeq lists it as uncharacterized. The transcript is spliced from 3 exons. NCBI's taxonomy places the organism in Eukaryota, Metazoa, Chordata, Testudines, Testudinidae. The record is from RefSeq and is a predicted model, not a curated record.